CCCUUAGAUGUUCUGGGCUGCACGCGCGCUACACUGAUGCAUGCAACGAGUUUUCGACCUUGCCUGAAAAGGUUGGGUAAUCUGUUUAACAUGUGUCGUGAUGGGGAUAGACCAUUGCAAUUAUUGAUCUUCAACGAGGGAUUCCUAGUAAGCGCGAGUCAUCAGCUCGUGCUGAUUAUGUCCCUGCCCUUUGUACACACCGCCCGUCGCUCCUACCGAUUGAAUGGUUUAGUGAGGACUCCUGAUUGGCGCCGCCGCCCCGGCAACGGAGCAGCGGACUGCCGAAAAGUUGUUCAAACUUGAUCAUUUAGAGGAAGUAAAAGUCGUAACA
Molecule: ribosomal RNA, 331 nt
Filed under: uncultured eukaryote
Lineage: Eukaryota
Description: partial 18S ribosomal RNA
Rfam family: Eukaryotic small subunit ribosomal RNA
Source: RNAcentral